UACGGCUCAGUAACACGUAGUCAACCUAACCUAUGGACGGGAAUAACCUCGGGAAACUGAGUAUAAUGCCCGAUAGAACAUUAUACCUGGAAUGGUUUAUGUUCCAAAUGAUUUAUCGCCGUAGGAUGGGACUGCGGCCUAUCAGUUUGUUGGUGAGGUAAUGGCCCACCAAGACUAUUACAGGUACGGGCUCUGAGAGGAGUAGCCCGGAGAUGGGUACUGAGACACGGACCCAGGCCCUAUGGGGCGCAGCAGGCGAGAAACCUUUGCAAUGUGCGCAAGCACGACAAGGUUAAUCCGAGUGUUUCCUGCUAAAGGAAUCUUUUGUUAGUUGUAAAACCACUGAUGAAUAAGGGGUGGGCAAGUUCUGGUGUCAGCCGCCGCGGUAAAACCAGCACCUCAAGUGGUCAGGAUGAUUAUUGGGCCUAAAGCAUCCGUAGCCUGUUCUGAAAGUUUCCGGUUAAAUCCAUUAACCCAACUAAUGGGCUGCCGAAAAUACUACAGAACUAGGGAGUGGGAGAGGUAGACGGUACUCGGUAGGAAGGGGUAAAAUCCUUUGAUCUAUUGAUGACCACCUGUGGCGAAGGCGGUCUACCAGAACACGUUCGACGGUGAGGGAUGAAAGCUGGGGGAGCAAACCGGAUUAGAUACCCGGGUAGUCCCAGCUGUAAACGAUGCAAACUCGGUGAUGCGCUGGCUUGUGGCCAGUGCAGUGCCGCAGGGAAGCCGUUAAGUUUGCCGCCUGGGAAGUACGUACGCAAGUAUGAAACUUAAAGGAAUUGGCGGA
Molecule: ribosomal RNA, 787 nt
Filed under: uncultured archaeon
Lineage: Archaea
Description: bacterial SSU rRNA
Rfam family: Archaeal small subunit ribosomal RNA
Source: RNAcentral